CCUACGGGUGGCAGCAGUGAGGAAUAUUGGUCAAUGGGCUUACGCCUGAACCAGCCAAGUCGCGUGAGGGAAGACUGCCCUAUGGGUUGUAAACCUCUUUUGUCAGGGAACAAAGGCGGGGACUAGUCCCCGGAUGAGGGUACCUGAAGAAAAAGCAUCGGCUAACUCCGUGCCAGCAGCCGCGGUAAUACGGAGGAUGCGAGCGUUAUCCGGAUUUACUGGGCGUAAAGCGCUCGUAGGCGGUAUGUCAAGUCAAGGGUGAAAUCCCCGCGCUCAACGUGGGAACUGCCUUUGAAACUGGCAAACUGGAGUGUGUGAGAGGAUAGUGGAAUUCCAGGUGUAGGAGUGAAAUCCGUAGAUAUCUGGAGGAACAUCAGUGGCGAAGGCGACUAGCUGGCACAUAACUGACGCUGAGGAGCGAAAGCGUGGGUAGCAAACAGGAUUAGAUACCCGUGUAGUC
Molecule: ribosomal RNA, 460 nt
Filed under: uncultured bacterium
Lineage: Bacteria
Description: partial 16S ribosomal RNA
Rfam family: Bacterial small subunit ribosomal RNA
Source: RNAcentral